RNAcentral lists this ribosomal RNA (497 nucleotides) under uncultured bacterium. Its description in RNAcentral is "partial 16S ribosomal RNA". It matches the Rfam family "Bacterial small subunit ribosomal RNA", at positions 28 to 507 of the family's 1533-position model. The record is from RNAcentral.
GACGAACGCUGGCGGCGUGCCUAAUACAUGCAAGUUGAGCGCUGAAGGCUGGUACUUGUACCAACUGGAUGAGCAGCGAACGGGUGAGUAACGCGUGGGGAAUCUGCCUUUGAGCGGGGGACAACAUUUGGAAACGAAUGCUAAUACCGCAUAAAAACUUUAAACACAAGUUUUAAGUUUGAAAGAUGCAAUUGCAUCACUCAAAGAUGAUCCCGCGUUGUAUUAGCUAGUUGGUGAGGUAAAGGCUCACCAAGGCGAUGAUACAUAGCCGACCUGAGAGGGUGAUCAGCCGCAUUGGGACUGAGACACGGCCCAAAGGCCUACGGGAGGCAGCAGUAGGGAAUCGUCGGGCAUGGACGAAAGUCUGAGCGAGCAACGCCGCGGGAGUGAAGAAGGUUGUCGGAUCGUAAAACUCUGUUGGUAGAGAAGAACGUUGGUGAGAGCGGAAAGCUCAUCGAGUGACGGUAACUACCCAGAAAGGGACGGCUAACUACGUG